This 390-nucleotide long non-coding RNA is filed under the name Mustela putorius furo (domestic ferret). RNAcentral describes it as "lncRNA (ENSMPUG00000025855.1)". Lineage: Eukaryota; Metazoa; Chordata; Mammalia; Carnivora; Mustelidae. The record is from RNAcentral.
GGAUUCUGACGGACAGGGCUGGGGCGGGCCAGAGCCCGGACGGAGAGGCGCGCGCGGGGGCGCGAAGCCACGAGAGCGCGAGUGCGCGUGCGCGAGCGGCGGGGCUUUCUCCGGAGCCGUCGGAGGGAGCCGGAGCGCUUCUCCUGAGUUGGUGAUUGGUCAGUGGUGGUCCAACAUGCAGAAGUGACUGAGUGGUGAAAAACAGCAGAGCUGAUGGGUCAUGAGGAUGUAAGUGCGUUGGAAGGCUCUCACACCCUUUACUCCAGGGUAAGUCAAAGGCAUUAUCUGCCAUUGUUUUUCUGAUUUUACUAAGUCCUAGAGGCUCUUGCCUCACUAGCCUGUUAGAGUCAGUGCAAUGAAGUUGUCUGUCUUUUUCGCAAAGCCUUUAUU